GACGAACCGAGCGAACGUUGUUCGGAAUCACUGGGCUUAAAGGGCGCGUAGGCGGGCCAUCAAGUCGAGGGUGAAAGCCCCCAGCUCAACUGGGGAAGUGCCUCCGAUACUGGUGGUCUCGAGGGAGAUAGGGGCGUGCGGAACUUCCGGUGGAGCGGUGAAAUGCGUAGAUAUCGGAAGGAACACCGGUGGCGAAAGCGGCGCGCUGGAUCUCUUCUGACGCUGAGGCGCGAAAGCCAGGGGAGCGAACGGG
Molecule: ribosomal RNA, 253 nt
Filed under: uncultured bacterium
Lineage: Bacteria
Description: partial 16S ribosomal RNA
Rfam family: Bacterial small subunit ribosomal RNA
Source: RNAcentral